UUUUAUAUUUAAGGUUUAGUCUGCCCAAUGAAAAAUUUCAAUGGCCGCAGUAUUUUGACUGUGCAAAGGUAGCAUAAUCAUUAGUUUCUUAAUUAGGAACUUGUAUGAAUGGCUGGAUGAGAAAUAAGCUGUCUCUAUUUAAUUUAAAUAUAAUUUUAUUUUUGAGUUAAAAAGCUUAAAUUUUUAUUAAAGACGAGAAGACCCUAUAGAGUUUAAUAAAUUAAUAAUUAUAAUAUUUAAGGCAUUAAAGUUUUAUAAUUGUUAAUUUAUUUUAUUGGGGUGAUAAGAGAAUUAAAUAAACUUUUCUUUUUUUAAAACGAUAAUAUAUGAGUAUUUGAUCCAAAUUUUUUGAUUAAAAGAUUAAAUUACCUUAGGGAUAACAGCGUAAUUUUCUUAGAGAGUUCAAAUCGAUAAGAAAGUUUGCGACCUCGAUGUUGGAUUAAAAUUAAUUAUUGGCGCAGUAGUUGAUAAAUUAAGUCUGUUCGACUUUUAAAAUUUUACGUGAUCU
Molecule: ribosomal RNA, 508 nt
Filed under: Laccobius sp. SLE0433
Lineage: Eukaryota; Metazoa; Arthropoda; Insecta; Coleoptera; Hydrophilidae
Description: partial 16S ribosomal RNA
Rfam family: Bacterial large subunit ribosomal RNA
Source: RNAcentral